AGGUAGAGAAUCUAUUACUCUUUAUGAAUCCCCAACGUUUUAAGCUGAUGUGUCAUAACUUUCUAAUUUUAAAAUUUUUUUAAUUUAGAAUGAGUCAUUUUAUUCUCUUUCUCAACAUACGUCUUUUCAUCUUCCCCAUUUAAUUUUUUUUUAGAAUGAGCCAUUUUACUCUUUCUCUCUCAACACACGUCUCUUCAUCUCCCUCAUUCAAUUUUUAUCUAUUACUCCUUAUGAAUCCUCAAUGUUUUAAGCCGAUGUGUUAUAACCUCCUAAUCUUAAAAUUUUUUUAAUUUAGAAUGAGCCAUUUUAUUCACUCUCAACAUACGUCUUUUUAUCUCCCCUAUUCAAUUUUUAUUUAGAAUGAGCCAUUUUACUCUCCCUCUUUCCAAACAUACGUCUUCUCAUCUCCCCCAUUUUAUUCUCUCUCUCUCAACAUACGUCUCUUCUCCCAUUUAAUUUUUAUUUAGAAUGAGCUAUUUUACUCUCUCUCUUCAUUGUUGGUAGAUGUACCAAGUGAGAUACACAAAAAAAUAUUCAAUAUUUUAUUAUUAUUAAUUACUACUAUAGUUUUUACCCGCUGCAAAGCGCGGGACUCUUCACUAGUAAAAAUUUUAUCAGGACCAUUUUAUGGUGAGAUUGUGAGACCCCAGAUAGUCCUAUAUAUAAGAUAUAAUAUGACUAAAAAUUCUUAACUCAGUUUAAGCAUUUUGGGUAAUGGCUAGGUUUAAGAGAUUAAAAGAGUUAAGCGUGUUAGAACGGGAGUAAUUCUAGGAUGGGCGACCUCUUAGGAAGUUGGAGCAUCACAGUUGGUAUCAGAAUCAAUUACCAGCCGAAAGUGUAAAAUGAAUAUCCAUUGAGUCAGGAUUAUACAGCGGGAAGAACAAAGUUCUCAUGCUAUUGACUGUUGUGGGAAGAGCGCUGCUCCCUCACUAGUUUGGUUUAGACUAGCAAGACGAGCUAGUCUCACAUCGCUUGGUACUUGUGAGUCUGAGCUUGACGAGGAUGUUAGGUGGCUUCCCUACAAAGUCGGUUUAGGCUGGCGAGACGAGUAUCACAUCGCCUGAUACUAUUGAGUUUGAGUCUGACGAGGACGUUAGGGGGCUCCCCUACAAGGUCGGUUUAGGGCAUGUUUGUUUCAACGUAAGUAGACUUGGGGUGGAAGUGGACUUUGAGUUGAAGUGGAGUUGGGGUGAAAAUUAGUUCACUUAUGCUGUUUGUUUCUAGCUGUGCAAGUGCAGUUCUGCAAGUUCUGUUGUUUGUUUGGUAGGAAGUAGAUGACAUAAAAAGUAUAGCUCUCUACCCCCGGUAUACUUACCUCCAAAGUGAUAUCAUUGUCUAUUUUGUAACUUAUAGUGAAUAAUAAAUUAUAAUAAAUAAAAUUAAUAUAAUUAUAUAUGUAUAUAAUUAUAUAUGUAUAUAAUUAUAUAUAUGUAUAAUUAUAAAAUAAAAUUUUUAAAAAUUAUAUUAUUUGUUUGCAUAUAAAUUAUAAUAAUGCAACAAAUAAAAUUCUAAAGUUAAAAAAUUAUUAACAUUUAACAAAUUCAUUUUUCAUCAUUUUUUAAAUAUACAAAUUAAACAAAAAAAUAUAUUAAAGCUUACCUAAUCAAAUUUGAUCAUAUUUUAGAAGAGGUAAUCCUAACACAUUAAUCCAUUUUUGCCUUUUUUUCACUUCACCGGAAUUGACUUCGCCCUAUGGGAGGGCGAAGUCAAGUUCAUUAUUUUAGAUGAACUGGACUUUCGAGCGUAAUAAAAUUACAGUGAACCAAACAGUGGAAGUGAUCAGUUUUCACCGAAAAUCACUUCCCUCGUCCCACUUCCACCCCACUUCCCUCGAAACAAACAUGCCCUUAGAUUAGCAAGAUGAGUCUCAUAUCGCCUGAUACUUGUGAGUCUGAGCCUGACGAGCACAUCAAGGCUUAAAGAAUGAGAGAAUGUGAGAGCCUAGAUAGUUCUAUAUAUAAGAUAUAAUAGGGCUAAAAAUUUUAACCCUGCUUAAACAUUUUGGGUAGUGACUAGGCCCAAGAGGUUAAGAGAGUUAACUGUGCUAGGUCAGAAGUAGUUUUACGAUGGGCGACCCUCCUGGAAAAUUGAGACGUCACAGUCCCAUGUAGCCCUAUAGAUAAGAUAUAAUAGGGCUAAAACUCUUAACCCGGCUUUAGAAUUUUGAGCAUAGGCCCAAGAGGUUAAGAGAGUUAAGUAUGUUACGACGAUAGUAGUCUUAGGAUGAGUGACCUCCUGAAAAGUUGGAGCGUCACAGUAGGUAUCAGAGUUAAUUACUAGCCAGAAAUAUGAGAUGAGUCUCGACUGUGACAGGAUUAUACAAAGGGGAAAGAGAGACUCUCGAUCAUGUUAUUGACUGUUGUGGGUAGAGUGUGGCUCCCCUAUAAGAUUGGUUUAGGGUAGUGAGACGAGUCUCAUGUCGUCUAAUACUUGUGGGUCUGAGCUUGAUGUAGAUGUCUGUGCUUAAGGGGAGAGAAUGUAAGACCGCAAGUAAUCCUAUAUAAAAUAUAAUAGGGCUAAAACUCUUAACCUGGUUUAAGCAUUUUGGGCGUACGUGUUAGGACGGGAUUAAGAGAGUUAAGCGAGUUAAGCGUACGUGCUAGGCCCAAGAGGUUAAGAGAGUUAAGCAUACAUGUUAGGACGGGAUUAAUUCUAGGAUGGAUGACCCCCUAGAAAGUUGCAGUGUCAAAUAAGGUUAAGAGAGUUAAACGUGUUAGGACGGGAGUGGUAAUAAGAUGGAUAAUCCCCUAGAAAGUUGGGAUAUUACAGAGAUAUGAAAUUUAUUGUGCAGUGCUAUACGUAAAGAACGGAAAAAAAUACAUAAAUGCGCUACAUAUGAUGUCCACCAAGUUAGGACUUUGGAAAUUACCGUGGUGUGCAUUGCAAAAGGUUUGACAUAAUAGAGAUUUUGAUGAAAAAGAUCCAAUUGACCUAACUAAGAAAAGAACUCAAUUGAAAGUUUGAUACACGAGUAAAAAGUCAGAGAUCUAAUUGCAAUAAUUGAAAGAUCAAGAAAUUAAUUAAAAUUUUGGUUACAGAAACUAAAUCCUUAAUGAAGGGAAUUUGAUGGUUAGGGGCACAAUUACCACUCGUCUAAAGAGAUGGUUAGGGACACAAUUUGACGGUUAGGGGCACAAUUAACUUUAGUUUUCUUCUUCUAUUUAGAAAAAUUGAUGGCUUUUGAUUUAAAUACAGAGUGUUAAAUAAUUCGUGAAAUUCUGAUGCAGUUGAGUUCUGCUUACGUAAUUUUUUUUCCUCACAUUCUGCUUAUAAUAAUAUAAGAUUGGUGAAUUAAAUAUUUGUCCUAACUUUAAUGUUUGUUUGAUAUUGUAGGAUGGAUAUUAUCUGAUACUAUUUAGGUGAAAAUCCUGCAGUUGAGUUCUGCUUAUAUAACUCUUUUCAUCAUAUUUUGUCUGCGGCUACAUAUAUAUUAGCAGAGGGCAUACGUUUAAACUGAAAGCAAUAUAUACGCUACAAGAGUGAUGCAUUUAAGGAUCUUAGUAAUUCGUUGUGAAUAAAAAAGUGAUGAAAUUUUUUUGUACCAAUUAUUCCUAGUGCUUAUGUAGUAGUAGAAAAUUUUUUAUUUCUUGAUUGAGAUUAAUAUUGUUGAUUGAAGUUUAUUAAUGUUGAAACAUUUAAAAAAUUUUAUUCAUUACUGCAAAUUUUUCGUAUUGGCAUGUUUGUUUGGUAUUUCAUAAUUAUCGAUGCUUUGGAGUGUCGACAAUUGUAUAAAUUAAAGACUCGUUUUAGAGCCGGUAAUAUGUUGGUAUUUCAUAAUUUAUCGAUACUUUGGAGUGUCGGUAAUUGUUUAAAUUAAUGACUUUUUUUAGAGUCGACACCUAAUAAAUUAUCGACUCUAAAAAGAGUUAGAAAAAGUUUCCCAACGCUAUGUUAAAGUGUCGGUAUAUUUAUUCUGACAUAGUUAUUUAACGACUCUUUAUCCAAUGCUUUUAAAAGCGCCGAUGUUAUUUUUGCCGACGCUUUAAAGCAUCGCUAAUUAAUUAUUAUUUCAAGCGUUCAUAAGUAUAAGAUUUGUUGUACUAACGUAUAUAUGACAUAUAUUAUAAUUAUACAUUGAAAUAUAGAUAUAGAU
Molecule: long non-coding RNA, 4093 nt
Filed under: Ananas comosus (pineapple)
Lineage: Eukaryota; Viridiplantae; Streptophyta; Magnoliopsida; Poales; Bromeliaceae
Description: long non-coding RNA (ACOM_LNC019363)
Source: RNAcentral